GCGGAUGUGGCGGAAUUGGUAUACGCGCCAGACUUAGGAUCUGGUGCCGCAAGGCUUGGGGGUUCGAGUCCCUUCAUCCGCA
This 82-nucleotide transfer RNA is filed under the name Bacteroidales bacterium. Its description in RNAcentral is "tRNA-Leu". It matches the Rfam family "tRNA". From Rfam's summary of the family: Transfer RNA (tRNA) molecules are approximately 80 nucleotides in length. Their secondary structure includes four short double-helical elements and three loops (D, anti-codon, and T loops). Further hydrogen bonds mediate the characteristic L-shaped molecular structure. tRNAs have two regions of fundamental functional importance: the anti-codon, which is responsible for specific mRNA codon recognition, and the 3' end, to which the tRNAs corresponding amino acid is attached (by aminoacyl-tRNA synthetases). tRNAs cope with the degeneracy of the genetic code in two manners: having more than one tRNA (with a specific anti-codon) for a particular amino acid; and 'wobble' base-pairing, i.e. permitting non-standard base-pairing at the 3rd anti-codon position. Lineage: Bacteria; Pseudomonadati; Bacteroidota; Bacteroidia; Bacteroidales. The record is from RNAcentral.